UGCAGAGUGGCUCGAUUGGUAAGGCGGCGCCCUCAUACGGCGAACUAUGUCGGUUCGAAUCCGGUCUCUGCAA
This 73-nucleotide transfer RNA is filed under the name Lachnospiraceae bacterium. RNAcentral's name for it is "tRNA-Met". It matches the Rfam family "tRNA". Rfam says of the family: Transfer RNA (tRNA) molecules are approximately 80 nucleotides in length. Their secondary structure includes four short double-helical elements and three loops (D, anti-codon, and T loops). The record is from RNAcentral. Lineage: Bacteria; Bacillati; Bacillota; Clostridia; Lachnospirales; Lachnospiraceae. RNAcentral also lists the same sequence under 1 other name.